UACGUAGGGUGCGAGCGUUGUCCGGAAUUAUUGGGCGUAAAGAGCUCGUAGGCGGUUUGUCGCGUCUGCUGUGAAAACUCGGGGCUUAACUCCGGGCCUGCAGUGGGUACGGGCAGACUAGAGUACUGCAGGGGAGACUGGAAUUCCUGGUGUAGCGGUGGAAUGCGCAGAUAUCAGGAGGAACACCGGUGGCGAAGGCGGGUCUCUGGGCAGUAACUGACGCUGAGGAGCGAAAGCGUGGGGAGCGAACAGG
Molecule: ribosomal RNA, 253 nt
Filed under: uncultured bacterium
Lineage: Bacteria
Description: partial 16S ribosomal RNA
Rfam family: Bacterial small subunit ribosomal RNA
Source: RNAcentral